This 57-nucleotide ribosomal RNA is filed under the name Chaetomium globosum. Its description in RNAcentral is "partial 28S ribosomal RNA". Lineage: Eukaryota; Fungi; Ascomycota; Sordariomycetes; Sordariales; Chaetomiaceae. The record is from RNAcentral.
ACAUCUCGCCCAGGGCGUGCCGCGGGUUCCGGCCGUUAAACCCCCUUUAACCCAGGG